This 82-nucleotide microRNA precursor is filed under the name Ovis aries (sheep). RNAcentral describes it as "miRNA (ENSOARG00000021260.1)". Lineage: Eukaryota; Metazoa; Chordata; Mammalia; Artiodactyla; Bovidae. The record is from RNAcentral.
UUUUGGUAUAAGUCUAUCCCAUGCAAUAUUUGGGACAUACUUAUACUAAAAAUUGUUGUUUAUUUGAAACUCAGAUUUUACU